GAUGAAGAACGUAGCGAAAUGCGAUAAGUAAUGUGAAUUGCAGAAUUCAGUGAAUCAUCGAAUCUUCGAACGCACAUUGCGCCCGCCAGUAUUCUGGCGGGCAUGCCUGUUCGAGCGUCAUUUCAACCAUCAAGCCCCAGGCUUGUGUUGGGGACCUGCGGCUGCCGCAGGCCCUGAAAACCAGUGGCGGGCUCGCUGUCACACCGGGCGUAGUAGAUUUUAUCUCGCUCUGGGCGUGCUGCGGGUUCCGGCCGUUAAAAAACCCUUUUAACCCAAGGUUGACCUCGGAUCAGGUAGGAAUACCCGCUGAACUUAAGCAUAUCAAUAAGCGGAGGA
Molecule: unclassified non-coding RNA, 336 nt
Filed under: soil metagenome
Description: partial contains 5.8S ribosomal RNA, internal transcribed spacer 2, and large subunit ribosomal RNA
Rfam family: 5.8S ribosomal RNA (bases 1-120)
Source: RNAcentral